ACGCCACGACCUGUUUGAGAGCAGCAUCUGGAGCAGAGAGACUACAGGGACCAGCAUGCAGUAUUCGGCCGGCGCUGGAGAGUGGAGUUUGGAAAUGUGUAAUUUGUUGUAAAUAAAAUAAUAUUUUAAUUAAUUGCUGGAGGGAGAUUAACGCCUUGAUUCUAUUUUUUCCUCCCGGACACUGACGAGGGAAGUUGUCUAUGUUGUUAGACAAAUGAAGGAGUAAAAUGAAAAGAGCUCGAAGUUGAAAACUUUUCUCCUGGUUUUUUCUCCCCCGGGCCUUUCGGCAACUGUAGAAGAAAUGAUUCGUUUAAGAGAUAAUUAAUGAUGUCUUCCAUGCAAAUAUUAAACCUCCAAAUGUUUUCAGUUGGACAAGGAAUGAGAGACAAAGUCUACCAAUCAUGCUUGGUCAUGGGGUCAUGGAGCCAGCAACAGCGGUGGUUGGGAGCCUUUGAUGGUUGGCCACAAGGCAGCCAGUUGCAGUUGGCAGCAUCACAGCUUCAUCAAUGUCUAGAGUGGUGCCAGAGCAGGACUGUGCAGCAAGGAAGCUAAUGCAGCAACAAAGCAUGGCAGCGGCUAGGACCCAGUGUGGGCCCGGAUGGCGGGAGCAGCGAGGCAGUGGUCCCAGCCAAUGGAGGUUGGCAGCGGCAGUGAGAGCAGCUGGCAAACACGGGCAGUACGUAGCCCAACGCAGGGAAGAGCACGUCCUGUUGGGGAAAGCCUAUCUUGGAGUGUCUGCAGGCUUGUGGCUUAAGAAGGGACUACAAUGUUUGACUUUUUAACUUUAUUUUCCAAUUCUUUACUAAGAAAACUGUAGUGCUGAGCUUUUUAACUUAUUUCUUUAUUUUUCUACUUCUGCAGCUAAGAUUUUGUUCCUAGGCGCAUUGUACCUAAGAUGCUGCCAUGUGUUGGCGACAUUGUACAUUUUUCAGUGUAUUCUUGUACCCGGUACUUGAGUACACAUGACAAUAAAACCUAAAUCUAAAAUCUAA
Rhincodon typus (whale shark) is the source of this 992-nucleotide long non-coding RNA. RefSeq lists it as uncharacterized. The transcript is spliced from 3 exons. The record is from RefSeq and is a predicted model, not a curated record. Lineage: Eukaryota; Metazoa; Chordata; Chondrichthyes; Orectolobiformes; Rhincodontidae.